This 253-nucleotide ribosomal RNA is filed under the name uncultured bacterium. RNAcentral describes it as "partial 16S ribosomal RNA". It matches the Rfam family "Bacterial small subunit ribosomal RNA", at positions 524 to 776 of the family's 1533-position model. The record is from RNAcentral.
UACGUAGGGGGCUAGCGUUGUCCGGAAUUAUUGGGCGUAAAGAGCGUGUAGGCGGUCCGGUAAGUCAGCUGUGAAAGUCAAGGGCUCAACCCUUGAAUGCCGGUUGAUACUGUCGGGCUAGAGUCCGGAAGAGGCGAGUGGAAUUCCCGGUGUAGCGGUGAAAUGCGCAGAUAUCAGGAGGAACACCGAUGGCGAAGGCAGGUCUCUGGGCCACUACUGACGCUGAGAAGCGAAAGCAUGGGGAGCGAACAGG